AAGCAUUGUGUGCUUGCAUGUAUACUAAAAUUGGAACAGUGCAGAGAAUACUAGCAUGGCCCUUGCACAAAUAUGACACACACAUGAAGCAUUUCAUAUGGUG
Hemicordylus capensis (graceful crag lizard) is the source of this 103-nucleotide small nuclear RNA. NCBI's taxonomy places the organism in Eukaryota, Metazoa, Chordata, Lepidosauria, Squamata, Cordylidae. The record is from RefSeq and is a predicted model, not a curated record.